This 1393-nucleotide ribosomal RNA is filed under the name uncultured bacterium. Its description in RNAcentral is "bacterial SSU rRNA". It matches the Rfam family "Bacterial small subunit ribosomal RNA". The record is from RNAcentral.
UUAGAGUUUGAUCCUGGCUCAGGAUGAACGCUGGCGGCGUGCCUAACACAUGCAAGUCGAACGAAGCUGCGUUUUCGGACAAAGCUUAGUGGCGGACGGGUGAGUAACGCGUAUGCAACCUACCCACGACAGGGGGAUAACCCGGAGAAAUUCGGACUAAUACCGCGUAACGGCCGGAGAGGGCAUCCUUUCCGGCCCGAAGCAGCGAUGCGGUUGUGGAUGGGCAUGCGUGGCAUUAGCUAGACGGUGGGGUAACGGCCCACCGUGGCGACGAUGCCUAGGGGGCCUGAGAGGGUGGUCCCCCACACUGGUACUGAGACACGGACCAGACUCCUACGGGAGGCAGCAGUGAGGAAUAUUGGUCAAUGGGCGGAAGCCUGAACCAGCCAUCCCGCGUGAGGGAAUAAUGCCCUAUGGGUUUUAAACCUCUUUUGCCGGGGACGAUAGUGGGCGACGAGUCGUCCAUGGACGGUACCCGGGGAAUAAGCAUCGGCUAACUCCGUGCCAGCAGCCGCGGUAAUACGGAGGAUGCGAGCGUUAUCCGGAUUUAUUGGGUUUAAAGGGUGCGUAGGCGGGUCGGUAAGUCAGCGGUGAAAUGUCGGGGCUCAACUUCGGAAUUGCCGUUGAUACUGCUGGUCUUGAAUACGGUCGAGGUAGGCGGAAUGUGUAAUGUAGCGGUGAAAUGCUUAGAUAUUACACAGAACACCGAUUGCGAAGGCAGCUUGCUAGGCCGGUAUUGACGCUGAGGCACGAAAGCGUGGGGAUCGAACAGGAUUAGAUACCCUGGUAGUCCACGCCGUAAACGAUGGACGCUCGCCGUCCGGCAUAGAGCCGGGUGGCCAAGCGAAAGCGAUAAGCGUCCCACCUGGGGAGUACGCCGGCAACGGUGAAACUCAAAGGAAUUGACGGGGGCCCGCACAAGCGGAGGAACAUGUGGUUUAAUUCGAUGAUACGCGAGGAACCUUACCCGGGCUUGAAAGUUAGCGACGGACCUUGAAAGAGGUCUUCCCUUCGGGGCGCGAAACUAGGUGCUGCAUGGUUGUCGUCAGCUUGUGCCGUGAGGUGUCGGCUUAAGUGCCAUAACGAGCGCAACCCCUGCCGCCAGUUGCUAGCGAGUAAAGUUGGGGACUCUGGCGGGACUGCCACCGCAAGGUGCGAGGAAGGCGGGGAUGACGUCAAAUCAGCACGGCCCUUACGUCCGGGGCGACACACGUGUUACAAUGGGGGGUACAGAGGGCAGCGACCUGGCGACAGGGAGCGAAUCUCAGAAAGCCCCUCUCAGUUCGGAUCGGAGUCUGCAACCCGACUCCGUGAAGCUGGAUUCGCUAGUAAUCGCGCAUCAGCCAUGGCGCGGUGAAUACGUUCCCGGGCCUUGCACACACCGCCCGUCAAG